GAUGAACGCUGGCGGCGUGCCUAAUACAUGCAAGUAGAACGCUGAAGGAGGAGCUUGCUCUUCUGGAUGAGUUGCGAACGGGUGAGUAACGCGUAGGUAACCUGCCUGGUAGCGGGGGAUAACUAUUGGAAACGAUAGCUAAUACCGCAUGACAACAGUUAUUGCAUGAUAACUGUUUAAAAGGGGCAACUGCUCCACUACCAGAUGGACCUGCGUUGUAUUAGCUAGUUGGUGAGGUAACGGCUCACCAAGGCGACGAUACAUAGCCGACCUGAGAGGGUGAUCGGCCACACUGGGACUGAGACACGGCCCAGACUCCUACGGGAGGCAGCAGUAGGGAAUCUUCGGCAAUGGACGGAAGUCUGACCGAGCAACGCCGCGUGAGUGAAGAAGGGUUUCGGAUCGUAAAGCUCUGUUGCAAGAGAAGAACGAGUGUGAGAGUGGAAAGUUCACACUGUGACGGUAUCUUGCCAGAAAGGGACGGCUAACUACGUG
Molecule: ribosomal RNA, 495 nt
Filed under: uncultured bacterium
Lineage: Bacteria
Description: partial 16S ribosomal RNA
Rfam family: Bacterial small subunit ribosomal RNA
Source: RNAcentral